Molecule: small nucleolar RNA, 127 nt
Organism: Apodemus sylvaticus (European woodmouse)
Lineage: Eukaryota; Metazoa; Chordata; Mammalia; Rodentia; Muridae
Product: small nucleolar RNA SNORA17
Exons: 1
Source: RefSeq, a predicted model, not a curated record
UCUUCUCUUAUAGGCAUUGCAGGCUGCUGUGCCACAUGUGAACCAGUAAGUUACAGUAAGGAGAGAGGCUAUGUCUAUGCUUAGUGUUAUGACCUAUGACCAUCUGAAUGAUUAGUAGCCUAACUUU